UAACUGAAUCCAUAGGUUAAUGAGGCGAACCGGGGGAACUGAAACAUCUAAGUACCCCGAGGAAAAGAAAUCAACCGAGAUUCCCCCAGUAGCGGCGAGCGAACGGGGAGGAGCCCAGAGCCUGAAUCAGUGUGUGUGUUAGUGGAAGCGUCUGGAAAGGCGCGCGAUACAGGGUGACAGCCCCGUACACAAAAAUGCACAUAUUGUGAGCUCGAUGAGUAGGGCGGGACACGUGGUAUCCUGUCUGAAUAUGGGGGGACCAUCCUCCAAGGCUAAAUACUCCUGACUGACCGAUAGUGAACCAGUACCGUGAGGGAAAGGCGAAAAGAACCCCGGCGAGGGGAGUGAAAAAGAACCUGAAACCGUGUACGUACAAGCAGUGGGAGCCUCUUAAUGGGGUGACUGCGUACCUUUUGUAUAAUGGGUCAGCGACUUAUAUUCUGUAGCAAGGUUAACCGAAUAGGGGAGCCGAAGGGAAACCGAGUCUUAACUGGGCGUUAAGUUGCAGGGUAUAGACCCGAAACCCGGUGAUCUAGCCAUGGGCAGGUUGAAGGUUGGGUAACACUAACUGGAGGACCGAACCGACUAAUGUUGAAAAAUUAGCGGAUGACUUGUGGCUGGGGGUGAAAGGCCAAUCAAACCGGGAGAUAGCUGGUUCUCCCCGAAAGCUAUUUAGGUAGCGCCUCGUGAAUUCAUCUCCGGGGGUAGAGCACUGUUUCGGCAAGGGGGUCAUCCCGACUUACCAACCCGAUGCAAACUGCGAAUACCGGAGAAUGUUAUCACGGGAGACACACGGCGGGUGCUAACGUCCGUCGUGAAGAGGGAAACAACCCAGACCGCCAGCUAAGGUCCCAAAGUCAUGGUUAAGUGGGAAACGAUGUGGGAAGGCCCAGACAGCCAGGAUGUUGGCUUAGAAGCAGCCAUCAUUUAAAGAAAGCGUAAUAGCUCACUGGUCGAGUCGGCCUGCGCGGAAGAUGUAACGGGGCUAAACCAUGCACCGAAGCUGCGGCAGCGACGCUUAUGCGUUGUUGGGUA
Molecule: ribosomal RNA, 1035 nt
Filed under: Escherichia coli
Lineage: Bacteria; Pseudomonadati; Pseudomonadota; Gammaproteobacteria; Enterobacterales; Enterobacteriaceae
Description: partial 23S ribosomal RNA
Rfam family: Bacterial large subunit ribosomal RNA
Source: RNAcentral